This 440-nucleotide ribosomal RNA is filed under the name uncultured bacterium. RNAcentral's name for it is "partial 16S ribosomal RNA". It matches the Rfam family "Bacterial small subunit ribosomal RNA", at positions 338 to 795 of the family's 1533-position model. The record is from RNAcentral.
CCUACGGGGGGCAGCAGUGGGGAAUAUUGCACAAUGGGGGAAACCCUGAUGCAGCGACGCCGCGUGAAGGAAGAAGUAUUUCGGUAUGUAAACUUCUAUCAGCAGGGAAGAAAAUGACGGUACCUGACUAAGAAGCCCCGGCUAACUACGUGCCAGCAGCCGCGGUAAUACGUAGGGGGCAAGCGUGAUCCGGAUUUACUGGGUGUAAAGGGAGCGUAGACGGCAGCGCAAGUCUGGAGUGAAAUGCCGGGGCCCAACCCCGGAACUGCUCUGGAAACUGUGAAGCUGGAGUGCAGGAGAGGUAAGCGGAAUUCCUGGUGUAGCGGUGAAAUGCGUAGAUAUCAGGAGGAACACCGGCGGCGAAGGCGGCUUACUGGACUGUAACUGACGUUGAGGCACGAAAGCGUGGGGAGCAAACAGGAUUAGAUACCCGAGUAGUC